UAUGUAGAUGUUGUCCAAAAAGUUAGUUACGGACUUGAUUUGGAUGAUCCAUCCAAAAUUAGCCUCACAACCUAUGGUUGUUUCAAUGGGAUGCUAUUUUUGGAACCAAUAAAGUACAAGAUUGUGGAGUAUUUUUCAGACAUGCUGGUCUACAACAUCACUGAAAUUUCAGAUGUCUUGUAUUAUGAAGUAUUGGAUAUCCCUCUUUUAGAAUUAGAAGGCUUGAAGACACUGAAUUUUACUUUUCGUUCAGCCAUAAAAAAAAGAGCUGUCCGAACGUAGUAUAAAAUUUUCAGGGGAAACAGUUGAAGAUUUUCUUGUCAAAUUAAAAACUGAGGUUGAGCUAUCUCAUCCUAGUGUAAGACUCAAGUUACUUGGCAUUUCCAAUCACAAGAUAUCUGUGAUCUUUUCCGAAAGUGCAUUGAUAGGGCAAAUAAAGGAUCCCUGGUUGUCGCUAGUCGAGGAGAUUCCUAAAGAAAAGCUUGGUUCUCAGGAUCUGUUGAUUCGUGUUUGGCACUCCAACCACGAGGACCAAGAGCUACAGUACUUUGAAUACCCGUUUCUCUUGAUCAUUCAUGAAGAUGAGACUUUGGCUGAGAUUAAAAUCCAUACACAGGAGAAAUUACAAGUUCC
Macadamia integrifolia is the source of this 633-nucleotide long non-coding RNA. RefSeq lists it as uncharacterized. The record is from RefSeq and is a predicted model, not a curated record. NCBI's taxonomy places the organism in Eukaryota, Viridiplantae, Streptophyta, Magnoliopsida, Proteales, Proteaceae. The transcript is spliced from 7 exons.